This 683-nucleotide ribosomal RNA is filed under the name Escherichia coli. RNAcentral's name for it is "partial 23S ribosomal RNA". It matches the Rfam family "Bacterial large subunit ribosomal RNA", at positions 2253 to 2925 of the family's 2925-position model. The record is from RNAcentral. Lineage: Bacteria; Pseudomonadati; Pseudomonadota; Gammaproteobacteria; Enterobacterales; Enterobacteriaceae.
AGUGUCUGGUGGGUAGUUUGACUGGGGCGGUCUCCUCCUAAAGAGUAACGGAGGAGCACGAAGGUUGGCUAAUCCUGGUCGGACAUCAGGAGGUUAGUGCAAUGGCAUAAGCCAGCUUGACUGCGAGCGUGACGGCGCGAGCAGGUGCGAAAGCAGGUCAUAGUGAUCCGGUGGUUCUGAAUGGAAGGGCCAUCGCUCAACGGAUAAAAGGUACUCCGGGGAUAACAGGCUGAUACCGCCCAAGAGUUCAUAUCGACGGCGGUGUUUGGCACCUCGAUGUCGGCUCAUCACAUCCUGGGGCUGAAGUAGGUCCCAAGGGUAUGGCUGUUCGCCAUUUAAAGUGGUACGCGAGCUGGGUUUAGAACGUCGUGAGACAGUUCGGUCCCUAUCUGCCGUGGGCGCUGGAGAACUGAGGGGGGCUGCUCCUAGUACGAGAGGACCGGAGUGGACGCAUCACUGGUGUUCGGGUUGUCAUGCCAAUGGCACUGCCCGGUAGCUAAAUGCGGAAGAGAUAAGUGCUGAAAGCAUCUAAGCACGAAACUUGCCCCGAGAUGAGUUCUCCCUGACUCCUUGAGAGUCCUGAAGGAACGUUGAAGACGACGACGUUGAUAGGCCGGGUGUGUAAGCGCAGCGAUGCGUUGAGCUAACCGGUACUAAUGAACCGUGAGGCUUAACCUUACAAC